GAUGAACGCUAGCUACAGGCUUAACACAUGCAAGUCGAGGGGAAACGAUGAGAGAGCUUGCUCUCUUAGUCGUCGACCGGCGCACGGGUGAGUAACGCGUAUCCAACCUGCCUCUGACCAAGGGAUAACCCGUCGAAAGUCGGACUAAUACCUUAUGCAGUCGUCGGAAGUCAUCUGAUGACGACGAAAGAUUUCAUCGGUGAGAGAUGGGGAUGCGUCUGAUUAGCUUGUUGGCGGGGUAACGGCCCACCAAGGCGACGAUCAGUAGGGGUUCUGAGAGGAAGGUCCCCCACAUUGGAACUGAGACACGGUCCAAACUCCUACGGGAGGCAGCAGUGAGGAAUAUUGGUCAAUGGGCGUAAGCCUGAACCAGCCAAGUAGCGUGCAGGAUGACGGCCCUAUGGGUGGUAAACUGCUUUUAGGCGGGGAUAAAGUGAGGGACGUGUCCUUCAUUGCAGGUACCGCAUGAAUAAGGACCGGCUAAUUCCGUG
This 491-nucleotide ribosomal RNA is filed under the name uncultured bacterium. RNAcentral's name for it is "partial 16S ribosomal RNA". It matches the Rfam family "Bacterial small subunit ribosomal RNA", at positions 28 to 507 of the family's 1533-position model. The record is from RNAcentral.